Molecule: non-coding RNA, 385 nt
Organism: Paramuricea clavata
Lineage: Eukaryota; Metazoa; Cnidaria; Anthozoa; Malacalcyonacea; Plexauridae
Source: the annotation of a GenBank genome assembly
UUCGUACUAUUCGUCGACUAUUCGCGGACUAUUCGCACUAUUCGUCGACUAUUCGCGGACUAUUCGCACUAUUCGUCGACUAUUCGCACUAUUCGCUUCACUAUUCUAGUUUUAUCAAUUGCCAACGUUGAGGUAAACUAUAAACAUAUUUUGAUCUUUAUUUAUUCAGUCAGCCAAUACUGAAAAUAUUUAAACUGAACACCCACCAAAUGAAAAUUGUUGCAGAAACAUUCUUUCCUACCAAUGUUUCGCCAUGUCGAAAUAUUGGCAGGAAACAAUGUUUCCACAACAAUGUUUCCUAUAGUUUGCCAAGCGCUUAACGAUACCCUAAAUGAUAUAGUUAAUUUUAACUACGUUUUAACUACAGUUAACGCUGACUAGCUAC